GUAGGGUGCGAGCGUUAAUCGGAAUUACUGGGCGUAAAGCGUGCGCAGGCGGUUUUGUAAGCCAGAUGUGAAAUCCCCGGGCUUAACCUGGGAACUGCAUUUGGGUCUGCAAGGCUAGAGUGUGUCAGAGGGGGGUAGAAUUCCACGUGUAGCAGUGAAAUGCGUAGAGAUGUGGAGGAAUACCGAUGGCGAAGGCAGCCCCCUGGGAUAACACUGACGCUCAUGCACGAAAGCGUGGGGAGCAAACAGGAUUAGAUACCCUGGUAGUCCACGCCCUAAACGAUGUCGACUAGUUGUCGGAGGAGAGAUUCUUUGGUAACGCAGCUAACGCGUGAAGUCGACCGCCUGGGGAGUACGGCCGCAAGGUUA
This 369-nucleotide ribosomal RNA is filed under the name uncultured bacterium. RNAcentral describes it as "bacterial SSU rRNA". It matches the Rfam family "Bacterial small subunit ribosomal RNA", at positions 527 to 896 of the family's 1533-position model. The record is from RNAcentral.